This 253-nucleotide ribosomal RNA is filed under the name uncultured bacterium. RNAcentral describes it as "partial 16S ribosomal RNA". It matches the Rfam family "Bacterial small subunit ribosomal RNA", at positions 524 to 776 of the family's 1533-position model. The record is from RNAcentral.
UACGUAGGGUCCGAGCGUUGUCCGGAAUUAUUGGGCGUAAAGAGCUCGUAGGCGGUUUGUCGCGUCUGCUGUGAAAUCCCGAGGCUCAACCUCGGGCCUGCAGUGGGUACGGGCAGACUGGAGUGCGGUAGGGGAGAAUGGAAUUCCUGGUGUAGCGGUGGAAUGCGCAGAUAUCAGGAGGAACACCGAUGGCGAAGGCGGUGCUCUGGGCCGGUACUGACGCUGAGGAGCGAAAGCGUGGGUAGCAAACAGG